GAUGAACGCUGGCGGCGUGCCUAAUACAUGCAAGUCGAGCGAACGGACGAGAAGCUUGCUUCUCUGAUGUUAGCGGCGGACGGGUGAGUAACACGUGGAUAACCUACCUAUAAGACUGGGAUAACUUCGGGAAACCGGAGCUAAUACCGGAUAAUAUUUUGAACCGCAUGGUUCAAAAGUGAAAGACGGUCUUGCUGUCACUUAUAGAUGGAUCCGCGCUGCAUUAGAUAGUUGGUAAGGUAACGGCUUACCAAGGCAACGAUGCAUAGCCGACCUGAGAGGGUGAUCGGCGACCCUGGAACUGAGACACGGUCCAGACUCCUACGGGAGGCAGCAGUAGGGAAUCUUCCGCAAUGGGCGAAAGCCUGACGGAGCAACGCCGCGUGAGUGAUGAAGGUCUUCGGAUCGUAAAACUCUGUUAUUAGGGAAGAACAUAUGUGUAAGUAACUGUGCACAUCUUGACGGUACCUAAUCAGAAAGCCACGGCUAACUACGUG
RNAcentral lists this ribosomal RNA (497 nucleotides) under uncultured bacterium. RNAcentral describes it as "partial 16S ribosomal RNA". It matches the Rfam family "Bacterial small subunit ribosomal RNA", at positions 28 to 507 of the family's 1533-position model. The record is from RNAcentral.